GCAGUGGUGCUUCAGUGGUAGAAUUCCAGCCUUCCUUGCGGGAGACCUGGGUUCGAGUCCUGGCCAAGGCA
RNAcentral lists this transfer RNA (71 nucleotides) under Loxodonta africana (African savanna elephant). It matches the Rfam family "tRNA". Rfam says of the family: Transfer RNA (tRNA) molecules are approximately 80 nucleotides in length. Their secondary structure includes four short double-helical elements and three loops (D, anti-codon, and T loops). The record is from Rfam by way of RNAcentral. Lineage: Eukaryota; Metazoa; Chordata; Mammalia; Proboscidea; Elephantidae.